AACGAACGCUGGCGGCAUGCCUAACACAUGCAAGUCGAACGAGACCUUCGGGUCUGGUGGCGCACGGGUGCGUAACGCGUGGGAACCUGCCCUUAGGUUCGGAAUAACUCCUCGAAAGGGGUGCUAAUACCGGAUAAUGUCCGCGGACCAAACAUUUAUCGCCUUUGGAUGGGCACGCGUUGGAUUAGCUAGUUGGUAGGGUAAAAGCCUACCAAGGCGACGAUCCAUAGCUGGUCUGAGAGGAUGAUCAGCCACACUGGGACUGGGACACGGUCCAGACUCCUGCGGGAGGCAGCAAUGGGGAAUAUUGGACAAUCGGCGAAAGCCUGAUCGAGCUAUGCCGCGUGAGUGAUGAAGGCCUUAAGGUUGUAAAGCUCUUUUACCCGGGAUGAUAAUGACAGUACCGGGAGAAUAAGCUCCGGCUAACUCCGUG
RNAcentral lists this ribosomal RNA (433 nucleotides) under uncultured bacterium. RNAcentral describes it as "partial 16S ribosomal RNA". It matches the Rfam family "Bacterial small subunit ribosomal RNA", at positions 29 to 507 of the family's 1533-position model. The record is from RNAcentral.